This 430-nucleotide ribosomal RNA is filed under the name uncultured bacterium. RNAcentral's name for it is "bacterial SSU rRNA". It matches the Rfam family "Bacterial small subunit ribosomal RNA", at positions 917 to 1341 of the family's 1533-position model. The record is from RNAcentral.
GGGCUCACACAAGCGGUGGAGCAUGUGGCUUAAUUCGAGGCAACGCGAAGAACCUUAUCCUGGAUUUGACAUGCACGGAUGGCUCGCCUGAAAGGGAUGAGUCUGCCUUCGGGUGAAACGUGCACAGGUGCUGCAUGGCUGUCGUCAGCUCGUGUCGUGAGAUGUAGGGUUAAGUCCUUAAACGAGCGCAACCCUUGUCCUUAGUUGCCAGCGGGUCAUGCCGGGGACUCUAAGGAGACUGCCGGUGUUAAACCGGAGGAAGGUGGGACGACGUCAAGUCAUCAUGGCCUUUAUGUCCAGGGCUGCACACGUGCUACAAUGGCGCGUACAAAGGGAAGCGAACCCGCGAGGGGAAGCAAAUCUCAAAAAGCGCGCCUCAGUUCGGAUUGCAGGCUGCAACUCGCCUGCAUGAAGCCGGAAUCGCUAGUAA